CCAUAAUCAUAAUAAUCCUAAU
RNAcentral lists this small nuclear RNA (22 nucleotides) under Arabidopsis thaliana (thale cress). Its description in RNAcentral is "snRNA_03802". The record is from RNAcentral. Lineage: Eukaryota; Viridiplantae; Streptophyta; Magnoliopsida; Brassicales; Brassicaceae.